Molecule: ribosomal RNA, 486 nt
Filed under: uncultured bacterium
Lineage: Bacteria
Description: bacterial SSU rRNA
Rfam family: Bacterial small subunit ribosomal RNA
Source: RNAcentral
AUUGAACGCUGGCGGCAGGCCUAACACAUGCAAGUCGAGCGGAUGAGUGGAGCUUGCUCCAUGAUUCAGCGGCGGACGGGUGAGUAAUGCCUAGGAAUCUGCCUGGUAGUGGGGGACAACGUUUCGAAAGGAACGCUAAUACCGCAUACGUCCUACGGGAGAAAAGUGGGGGGAUCUUCGGACCUCACGCUAUCAGAUGAGCCUAGGUCGGAUUAGCUAGUUGGUGAGGUAAAGGCUCACCAAGGCGACGAUCCGUAACUGGUCUGAGAGGAUGAUCAGUCACACUGGAACUGAGACACGGUCCAGACUCCUACGGGAGGCAGCAGUGGGGAAUAUUGGACAAUGGGCGAAAGCCUGAUCCAGCCAUGCCGCGUGUGUGAAGAAGGUCUUCGGAUUGUAAAGCACUUUAAGUUGGGAGGAAGGGCAGUAAGUUAAUACCUUGCUGUUUUGACGUUACCAACAGAAUAAGCACCGGCUAACUUCGUG